Long non-coding RNA from Oreochromis niloticus (Nile tilapia), 733 nucleotides. RefSeq lists it as uncharacterized. The record is from RefSeq and is a predicted model, not a curated record. The transcript has 3 exons. NCBI's taxonomy places the organism in Eukaryota, Metazoa, Chordata, Actinopteri, Cichliformes, Cichlidae.
CAUAUGUCUGCCUCUGUAGCUGUGACACUCCCCUUUCCACAGGAAAGCAUCAGCAAUGCUUUUUGUUGUGAAAUAAUAGCCAGAUGCAACAAUCUGAUGGAAAGCCUUGAACCAGAGUGGAGGCUUUUCCAGCAGCAGAUUAGUGCCCAUGGUUUGAUUUGGCAUGGAGAAGUUAAUGUUCACAUACUUUGUUCAUACGUUUUCAAACUUUAGGCAACAUGGACUAUGUUAAGGUGGCUGAAGAGCCGUCGCCAAGACCUGACAGAGAGGCAAGCAGAGCACUGCUGGUAACAGCAGAAUUUUCUCAUAACAGGUUGAUUUGGCAAAGAUUUGAUGCCAGAUGACCUUCCUGAUGCAACUCUCUCCAGUUAUCUAGGGCCGGAACCUGCAGUACACUGGCUUGUGUUCACACAUUGUGUGGUGAACUUCACAGAAACUGAUUGCUUGAUGCUCAUUUGUGUCUGUAGCUCUAACUAGAUCUAGAAGUACCACAACUAUUAGUCAUGAACAUCUGCACCAAAAAUGCUGUUUUGGAUUGUUUGGGGUCACUUUACCCACUAAGUGUGAUUUGUAUGCAAUAAAGAUUGACGAUGGAUACUCUAAUAAGAUUGUCUUUUAUGUGUUAUUGUUUUGCCCAAUCCCACAUACCAAGAAGCUCUGGCCCGGAUCUGGUAUCAAGCCGGCACUGCUGACUUCUGGCAUGAUAAGACGUAUGUCAUCCAGAUAUGGGCCA